CCUACGGGAGGCAGCAGUGAGGAAUAUUGGUCAAUGGGCGAGAGCCUGAACCAGCCAAGUCGCGUGAAGGAUGACGGCCCUACGGGUUGUAAACUUCUGUUGUCAGGGAGCAAGUGGGUCCACGCGUGGGCUUAGCGAGAGGACCUGAAGAAAAAGCAGCGGCUAACUCCGUGCCAGCAGUCGCGGUACUACGGAGGAUGCGAGCUUUAUCCGGAUUUAUUGGGUUUACGGGGUGCGUAGGCGGAAUAUCAAGUCAGCGGUAAAAAUUCGGGGCUCAACCCCGUCGUGCCGUUUAAACUGCUGUUCUUGAGUGGGCGAGACGUAUGCGGAAUGCGUGGUGUAGCGGU
This 347-nucleotide ribosomal RNA is filed under the name uncultured bacterium. Its description in RNAcentral is "partial 16S ribosomal RNA". It matches the Rfam family "Bacterial small subunit ribosomal RNA", at positions 338 to 682 of the family's 1533-position model. The record is from RNAcentral.